AACGAACGCUGGCGGCAUGCCUAACACAUGCAAGUCGAACGAAGUCUUCGGACUUAGUGGCGCACGGGUGCGUAACGCGUGGGAAUCUGCCCUUGGGUACGGAAUAACUCAGAGAAAUUUGUGCUAAUACCGUAUAAUGUCUUCGGACCAAAGAUUUAUCGCCCAAGGAUGAGCCCGCGUAAGAUUAGCUAGUUGGUGGGGUAAAAGCCUACCAAGGCGACGAUCUUUAGCUGGUCUGAGAGGAUGAUCAGCCACACUGGGACUGAGACACGGCCCAGACUCCUACGGGAGGCAGCAGUGGGGAAUAUUGGACAAUGGGCGAAAGCCUGAUCCAGCAAUGCCGCGUGAGUGAUGAAGGCCCUAGGGUUGAAAGCUCUUUUACCAGGGAUGAUAAUGACAGUACCUGGAGAAUAAGCUCCGGCUAACUCCGUG
RNAcentral lists this ribosomal RNA (432 nucleotides) under uncultured bacterium. Its description in RNAcentral is "partial 16S ribosomal RNA". It matches the Rfam family "Bacterial small subunit ribosomal RNA", at positions 29 to 507 of the family's 1533-position model. The record is from RNAcentral.